Molecule: ribosomal RNA, 57 nt
Filed under: Chloropicon mariensis
Lineage: Eukaryota; Viridiplantae; Chlorophyta; Chloropicophyceae; Chloropicales; Chloropicaceae
Description: partial Eukaryotic large subunit ribosomal RNA
Source: RNAcentral
AUUAUGCCUGAACGCCUCUAAGGCAGAAUCUGUUCUGGACCGUUAAGCGACAAUAUU